This is an RNA transcript of Eurytemora carolleeae, 1166 nucleotides long. RefSeq lists it as uncharacterized. The record is from RefSeq and is a predicted model, not a curated record. The transcript has 4 exons. Lineage: Eukaryota; Metazoa; Arthropoda; Copepoda; Calanoida; Temoridae.
CAAUAAGAAAUUAAAGAAAUACAUUGUUUGAUCUGUUGUCUCCCGGAAAAUUAAAAUGUUGGAGAAAUUAUUUUGCACACUUAAUUUAAGUGUAAACGUAGAAAAUAAAAUAAAGUUAUAUUUUGACUAAAACAAUAAACAUAUUUAAACUCUGAACUUGACGUCACUGAGGGGAGGGUGGCAGAUCUUGUGAUUUCUUAUUAAAACUGUAUGGUUUAGAAUUUUUUUUAAAAAAUCAUGUGGCAUCGAUGAUAUGACAAAUGAAAUAUAUUCAGAGUGCUUCGCAGUCGGACUAUUUUUCAAAAUAUAAUUUCACAAAAUAAUUUUCAUAACUUUUUAAGAAUAGUUUGCGUAAACCGCUAAAUCUAGGGGUUUAAGAUAAAAAGAAAAUUGUUGGAGACAGGAGGGAAUCAAGUAGACCGCUCAAUCUAUGGGUUUGAGAUAAAAAAGAAAAAUGUUGGAGACAGGAGGGAGUCAAGUAGACCGCUGAAUCUAUGGGUUUAAGAUAAAGAAGAAAAAUGUUGGAGACAGGAGGGAAUCACGUUUUUGUGCUUUCCAAAAUGUGGCCAACAUUCUCAGGCUCUCCGAAGAUCAAUAUCAGGACCAGUUUUGUUUUUGCAAAAGAAAAUAUUUCUCAUAUCUGACCUCAGAUUUCUCACCGGACCUAACUCUAGACUGAACCUGAAGAAUCCAGAGACGUGGAGAAGUCUAUCCAAGGUUCGGGAACGAGGAAAGGGUUAUCAUCAAGCGCUAUAUCUCUCAAUCCCAGUCCAAAAACUUACCUCUAUCCAUACUGCAGGAUGUGUAUACCGAGCCACACAUAUGACCGUGGGAGGAGGAGGGUCGGAUAGGUAUGGUUGGAUUGGAAAGAAGGUUCAAGAAUGGAGAGAAAGGUUUUACUCCGACCCUGAUCUGGUCGGAGCCUGGCUCCUUAUCAACAUGACAAUUGCAAUCAUCAUUUGCGUCCUAGGUUUUAGCUUUAAACAUCUUUUUGAACCGGAGAAUGAGAGACUGACCUCCGAAGAGGAGGAGAGGUUAUCUAUGGUGUUUGGACUCACAGAUUAGAUGUCAAGCUUAUCAGUAGAAUAUGCUAUAGACAUAUAAAUAAAUAUUCAUAAAUGUUCAAGAAUGUUAAUAAAUGAAAUAUAAUCAUUUUUUAAAGUAAA